AGUGAACGCUGGCGGUAGGCCUAACACAUGCAAGUCGAACGGCAGCACAGUAAGAGCUUGCUCUUACGGGUGGCGAGUGGCGGACGGGUGAGGAAUACAUCGGAAUCUACUUUUUCGUGGGGGAUAACGUAGGGAAACUUACGCUAAUACCGCAUACGACCUACAGGUGAAAGCAGGGGAUCUUCGGACCUUGCGCGAUUGAAUGAGCCGAUGUCGGAUUAGCUAGUUGGCGGGGUAAAGGCCCACCAAGGCGACGAUCCGUAGCUGGUCUGAGAGGAUGAUCAGCCACACUGGAACUGAGACACGGUCCAGACUCCUACGGGAGGCAGCAGUGGGGAAUAUUGGACAAUGGGCGCAAGCCUGAUCCAGCCAUACUGCGUGGGUGAAGAAGGCCUUCGGGUUGUAAAGCCCUUUUGUUGGGAAAGAAAAGCAGCAGGUUAAUACCCCGCUGUUCUGACGGUACCCAAAGAAUAAGCACCGGCUAACUUCGUG
This 492-nucleotide ribosomal RNA is filed under the name uncultured bacterium. Its description in RNAcentral is "partial 16S ribosomal RNA". It matches the Rfam family "Bacterial small subunit ribosomal RNA", at positions 29 to 507 of the family's 1533-position model. The record is from RNAcentral.